CGUGUAGGCGGCCUUGCAAGUUGGGUGUGAAAGCCCUCGGCUUAACCGAGGAAGUGCGCCCAAAACUACGAGGCUUGAGUACCGGAGAGGAUGGUGGAAUUCCCGGUGUAGAGGUGAAAUUCGUAGAUAUCGGGAGGAACACCAGCGGCGAAGGCGACCAUCUGGACGGAUACUGACGCUGAGACGCGAAAGCGUGGGGAGCAAACAGGAUUAGAUACCCUGGUAGUCCACGCCGUAAACGAUGAGCGCUAGGUGUUGCGGGUGUUGACCCCUGCAGUGCCGCAGCUAACGCAUUAAGCGCUCCGCCUGGGAAGUACGGCCGCAAGGCUAAAA
This 333-nucleotide ribosomal RNA is filed under the name uncultured bacterium. RNAcentral's name for it is "bacterial SSU rRNA". It matches the Rfam family "Bacterial small subunit ribosomal RNA", at positions 568 to 899 of the family's 1533-position model. The record is from RNAcentral.